CCUACGGGAGGCUGCAGUGAGGAAUAUUGGUCAAUGGGCGAGAGCCUGAACCAGCCAAGUCGCGUGAGGGAAGACGGUCCUAUGGAUUGUAAACCUCUUUUGCCGGGGAGCAAAACGCGGUACGUGUACCGCAUCGAGAGUACCCGGAGAAAAAGCAUCGGCUAACUCCGUGCCAGCAGCCGCGGUAAUACGGAGGAUGCGAGCGUUAUCCGGAUUUAUUGGGUUUAAAGGGUGCGCAGGCGGCGAGUUAAGUCAGCGGUAAAAUUUCGGGGCUCAACCCCGACGAGCCGUUGAAACUGGCGUGCUAGAGUGGGCGAGAAGUAUGCGGAAUGCGUGGUGUAGCGGUGAAAUGCAUAGAUAUCACGCAGAACUCCGAUUGCGAAGGCAGCAUACCGGCGCCCAACUGACGCUCAGGCACGAAAGCGUGGGUAUCGAACAGGAUUAGAUACCCGAGUAGUC
Molecule: ribosomal RNA, 459 nt
Filed under: uncultured bacterium
Lineage: Bacteria
Description: partial 16S ribosomal RNA
Rfam family: Bacterial small subunit ribosomal RNA
Source: RNAcentral